RNAcentral lists this long non-coding RNA (266 nucleotides) under Lathyrus oleraceus (garden pea). RNAcentral's name for it is "Pisum sativum (pea) long non-coding RNA (PSAT_LNC025000)". The record is from RNAcentral. Lineage: Eukaryota; Viridiplantae; Streptophyta; Magnoliopsida; Fabales; Fabaceae.
GAGUACCUCACUUUUAUCCUGACUUAUUCGUAUCCUGAUGACACUGAAUUUCACCGUAUUUUUGACUCCGAUUUCGCAUGCAUUUUAGUUGUUCUAUUGUUAUUUUGUUAUGUUAUUACUGUGUUUUUCUUUAUUUUCAGGUUUUCAGUCUAAUCAGAGCCACGUUCGAGAAAAGGAGUGAAAAUGAGCUAAAAAGCCUAAAAAUCAGCAUUUUGCACUUGUGGCUCCCACUGUGGUUGGCGCCAUGGGUCCAGCCAUGACGUGUC